Acanthopagrus latus (yellowfin seabream) is the source of this 1690-nucleotide long non-coding RNA. RefSeq lists it as uncharacterized. NCBI's taxonomy places the organism in Eukaryota, Metazoa, Chordata, Actinopteri, Spariformes, Sparidae. The transcript has 4 exons. The record is from RefSeq and is a predicted model, not a curated record.
CUGAACUCACACGUGCCCUUGAAUCUUACAGACCGCGUCCACACAAAAACUGUUUUUUUUUUGGGUUUUUUUUUUGUACUCGCGCUGAUUGCGGAGAAGAGCGCUGAUGAGAAACCGUGUUUUGCUCUCGCUCCAAAGUGAUGCAAUGCAACUCCGCGAUCGGUACUUUUGCGGCAGGAGCGAACACUCCGCCUCGGUGUUUUAUUUAUCGCUGCUGCUGAACCUGUCAGACGAAAGCAGCAGUGACAGAUGUACAGAACAAAACGCUGAAUGCCAGAAUCAGAGAGAAUCUGACACAGUGACACUGGGGGAGAAAGACUAGACGGCUUUUCCCUUUGCAGUAUUUUGUAUUGCAUUGUCAGUGUUUCACGCAAAACCCAACACCCAACGCCGACACCGUCACGACCUUGAUGAGACAGAAAGCCGAUCGAGGUUGGCAGAGCCGCCGCUCUGGAGCAAAGAGUCGUGUGCAGAGCCGAUCCCUCUGGAGGCAUAAACACUUUGACUCGCCCUGGAUUCUGCUCCGAUCCAGCGUCGUUUACUAACAGGACGAGAGCUCAGAGGUUACUUUCUAUGCUUUUUUUGGGAUUAAAAGUGGAUUUACCUUCCCUUCUGUGUAUCAACCUUACUGCAACAGCGAUCCACGGAGACUGGAUGUGAACCCUGGAUUGUGGUGUGAGGGCCCCGUCUACUUCAGUUAUUGAGGAGAAUGCUGCAGCAUUGUUUUGCUGUGGUCUACAAAACUUGAAACACAAAACUUCACCUUUCCAUCAGCACGCAACAGCAGCACCAGAAACCACAUGCCUCUAGUGUUCUGGAUGGUUACCAGUAAGUUUAACUGUGUAUCAUGACACACACAGUUGUGCUUUGGGAUGAUCACAUCACAGCCCCAUAGCAGCAAAAGGUUAAAAACAAUUGAAUUUGUAGAAAAUACCCCCAGACAGUGAUGCCAAGGAAACUGAUAAUCCUACAACAAAUCUUUCCUUUGCCACCGUCUUGUCCACAUACAGACUACACAUGCUUUUAUUCUGGCGGAGCCGUGCGGAUUUAUUUAGUGCUGAAUUAAUAGCUGCUACGACACAUUUUAAGAUUUUCGCACAUGUUGAUGUUGAGAAUGUCAAACGUGCACUUGAAAUGUCAUUAUUGCUCCAACAUGGAAACGUGUGAGGGUAUGAAUACAUUGUGGGUUAGUUGCCAAACUGUUAGCAUGGUAAUUGCAGCAUAAUCUAAGGAUGUGCAGAAAUAAUGUGCAAUCUUGAAACUGAACUCAUCCAACACUAUAUUUGUAGAUACUAAUUCGUCUGGUUAACAUACACGCUGUACGGCGUUCAAUAUUUUUUCUUAUACACAAUAAAAGCCUCAUUUGACAGCUGUGAUUCCAUCAUUGCACAAAUACCAUUUUUUUCCCCCCAUAACACCGAGCUCAGUUUCCAUGGAAAUAUUUUGUAUUAUACUCAUUCGAGGAGAACAGAUCUUCUACCUAAGAGCAGGCCCUGAGUAUAUGAGUUCAUAUUUGGAAUAUAUGCAAAUACAGUCAAUGUUGGCACAGGCUUUAAAUUAACAAGAGAUGGUGAAUUGGUUUGGGCUGUUUUAGCAUUAAAGAUUAAAGCAGAGCCUUUUUUUUUUCUUUUUUUCCAGUCAUGUUCAAUUUCCAUCCAUAAAUAACUCAUGAAGGCCAAUAAAAGCGGUA